AUCCAGCUGACGAGUCACAAGUUGGACGAAACGUGCAUCCUGGAU
Molecule: non-coding RNA, 45 nt
Filed under: Schistosoma mansoni
Lineage: Eukaryota; Metazoa; Platyhelminthes; Trematoda; Strigeidida; Schistosomatidae
Source: RNAcentral